UACGUAGGGUGCGAGCGUUGUCCGGAAUUAUUGGGCGUAAAGGGCUCGUAGGCGGUUUGUCGCGUCGGGAGUGAAAUCCACUGGCUUAACUGGUGGCUUGCUUUCGAUACGGGCAGACUGGAGGUAUGCAGGGGAGAACGGAAUUCCUGGUGUAGCGGUGAAAUGCGCAGAUAUCAGGAGGAACACCGGUGGCGAAGGCGGUUCUCUGGGCAUGCCCUGACGCUGAGGAGCGAAAGCAUGGGGAGCGAACAGG
RNAcentral lists this ribosomal RNA (253 nucleotides) under uncultured bacterium. RNAcentral's name for it is "partial 16S ribosomal RNA". It matches the Rfam family "Bacterial small subunit ribosomal RNA", at positions 524 to 776 of the family's 1533-position model. The record is from RNAcentral.